This 68-nucleotide transfer RNA is filed under the name Culicoides arakawae. RNAcentral's name for it is "tRNA-Trp". Lineage: Eukaryota; Metazoa; Arthropoda; Insecta; Diptera; Ceratopogonidae. The record is from RNAcentral.
AAAGCUUUAAGUUAAAAUUAAACUUUUAACCUUCAAAGUUAACUAUAAAAAUUUAUUUUUAAGCUUUA